AUGUUUCCAUCGCCGCCGCCCACCGCUCCUCCUCUCCUCUGCUACCCCCAACACGAGGAACCAACCUCCCGAAGCAACCGGGGCGGCAAGCGGCGGAAGGAUGGAGAGAUGGCGUCUGCGGCGACGGUGAAGGAGAUGGGGCGGGUGUCCUGCAUCUGGAUCAAGCACGAGGAGGAGCGGCGCGAGGCUUCCUGGAAGGAGCCCGAGGGCCGGGUCUUCUCCGCCACCACACGCACCGAUGUCGCCACGCUCCUCGGUGAGCCCCGUGACCAGAUCCUCGCCGGUCGUGCCUCCUUCGCCGACCUCGUCGCACAGCACCGGCUGCUGGGGACUGAAACGAACUCCACUUCACGCUCUGCUUUGGUGGAUCUCACUACGCUCAGGAGGUGUUCGACGAAAUGCAAAGCCAGGGAAAAACUAGAGAUGAGACACAGGUAG
Molecule: ribosomal RNA, 438 nt
Filed under: Triticum aestivum (bread wheat)
Lineage: Eukaryota; Viridiplantae; Streptophyta; Magnoliopsida; Poales; Poaceae
Description: partial small subunit ribosomal RNA
Source: RNAcentral